Molecule: long non-coding RNA, 152 nt
Organism: Stegastes partitus (bicolor damselfish)
Lineage: Eukaryota; Metazoa; Chordata; Actinopteri; Pomacentridae
Exons: 3
Source: RefSeq, a predicted model, not a curated record
AAAAAAACUUCUUUUACACAAACCCGCAUAAACGUGUCACUAAGAGCUGCUAUGAGCAUGCCGAACCUAUAGGGGGCAGCGUAACGACAAACCCAUGCUAGCCAAUCAGAAUCCUGGAAAAAACACAACAACGAAUGGCACGAUUUACUUCC